Molecule: long non-coding RNA, 627 nt
Filed under: Fragaria vesca (wild strawberry)
Lineage: Eukaryota; Viridiplantae; Streptophyta; Magnoliopsida; Rosales; Rosaceae
Description: long non-coding RNA (FVES_LNC003826)
Source: RNAcentral
AGUACAAGAACAUUAACUCGCUUUGAGUCUGAUAGCACUCUUGGAGGUAUGGGCUUCUUGAAUAUGGUGGUUGGUCAAGUCUUGGUCUUUGCUUUCCUCUUGCGUAGUAAUGCUGCUAUUUCUCUGCUCUGAUUUUAGGGUUCUGUUUGAACUGACCUGCAAAUUUACAACAGCCCCCCUCGAUAGAAAUGGGUAAUUGGGUGUAGGUAUGAGUUUUACCCAUUUAAACAAUAUUUUGUAAAUGGGUAUUACCUGUGAAUUUUUCUUGGGUAGGUAUAAACCUACGGAUAUUUCCUAAUGGGUUUCAAUGCCAACCUUAUUUGUGAUUUCAUCAUUUCAUGCAUAACUCAUAUGAUAUUGUAUGGUCAAGUCCCAAAGUAUAAGGGGCCUGCAGCAGAGUAAAAGCAAUGAAAGAUCUGAAAACCAACCACUUCAAUUUGUUUUGCUACAAAAUCAAGUAAUGAAGUUUGAAUAAUGCUGGUGAUCAUAUCAAAGAAUAUCCCUUAUAAACUGCACCACACAACCCACUUAAUUACCCACCCUCAUCUCUUAUUCUCUUUCCGUGUAAACACUACUAAUCCCCUUACUGUGGAGCUGAGAUAUCAGUACCCUCUUCUCUAUCUGUAG